CCUACGGGAGGCUGCAGUGGGGAAUAUUGGGCAAUGGGCGCAAGCCUGACCCAGCAACGCCGCGUGAAGGAAGAAGGCUUUCGGGUUGUAAACUUCUUUUCUGAGGGACGAAGAAAGUGACGGUACCUCAGGAAUAAGCCACGGCUAACUACGUGCCAGCAGCCGCGGUAAUACGUAGGUGGCAAGCGUUAUCCGGAUUUAUUGGGUGUAAAGGGCGUGUAGGCGGGAAAGCAAGUCAGAUGUGAAAACUCAGGGCUCAACCCUGAGCCUGCAUUUGAAACUGUUUUUCUUGAGUGCUGGAGAGGCAAUCGGAAUGCCGGGUGUAGCGGUGAAAUGCGUAGAUAUACGGAGGAACACCAGUGGCGAAGGCGGAUUGCUGGACAGUAACUGACAUUGAUGCUCGAAAGUGUGGGUAUCAAACAGGAUUAGAUACCCCGGUAGUC
This 443-nucleotide ribosomal RNA is filed under the name uncultured bacterium. RNAcentral describes it as "partial 16S ribosomal RNA". It matches the Rfam family "Bacterial small subunit ribosomal RNA", at positions 338 to 795 of the family's 1533-position model. The record is from RNAcentral.